CAAAAUCUCAAUCCAUCCCACGCCGACGGUGAGAACCGGCCAGAUAAGAGAAUCUAAGAUAGGGUAGAAUCGGAGUGGAGAUUCUUCGCUAUGGUGGACGACGACGAAGAUGACAAUUUCGGCGACUUCAGUUUCGUUACCAAACAUCCCGAUCAGAUCAACAACCGAACUUCACCCACGACCAUCGAUGACGACGAUUGGGGCGAUUUCGUCGACCAUUCCUCUCAGAUCGGCGACGCUUUCGAUCUCUCCCGUCCCCAGCCUUCUCCCAAUUCAAACCCCUCCGACAUGUCCCUGAAGAUUCAGUGGGCGAAG
Molecule: unclassified non-coding RNA, 315 nt
Filed under: Hevea brasiliensis (rubber tree)
Lineage: Eukaryota; Viridiplantae; Streptophyta; Magnoliopsida; Malpighiales; Euphorbiaceae
Source: RNAcentral